RNAcentral lists this microRNA (20 nucleotides) under Ananas comosus (pineapple). Its description in RNAcentral is "microRNA s1455_c077b". The record is from RNAcentral. Lineage: Eukaryota; Viridiplantae; Streptophyta; Magnoliopsida; Poales; Bromeliaceae.
AACCGCCAAUCAUUCGACAU